AGCCCAUCAGCUAGCCCCCCAACAAAAAACAACACACCCCCAUAAAUAACCCCACAUGCACUUACAUCAAACUAAACAAAUCAUUUUCCCACCCAAGUAUGGGCGACAGAAAAGGAACUAGC
Molecule: ribosomal RNA, 122 nt
Filed under: Acanthopagrus latus (yellowfin seabream)
Lineage: Eukaryota; Metazoa; Chordata; Actinopteri; Spariformes; Sparidae
Description: partial 16S rRNA
Source: RNAcentral